This is a long non-coding RNA of Ochotona curzoniae (black-lipped pika), 696 nucleotides long. RefSeq lists it as uncharacterized. The transcript has 3 exons. NCBI's taxonomy places the organism in Eukaryota, Metazoa, Chordata, Mammalia, Lagomorpha, Ochotonidae. The record is from RefSeq and is a predicted model, not a curated record.
UGUGCGAACAGACAGGUCUACACAUAGCGUCCAGUCCUCUGACACCUUAGAAAUGGCGAACGGGAUGAUGAUCUCGGCAGGGACAUGGAACUGGAGUGCAUAGGUGAAGAAAAUGCCAACAGAAUACAUCAGCUUGACUGACUGGUACAACCUGCGGACAGAUCAUCGAGAGGAUGUGAAAUGCAGCAUGGCUCCUGGGAAGGGCUGAUGAGGCCUCACUCAUUGCUUGGCAGCUGCUGAUGGCCACUGAGUUCCAGAACUGGCUGCUGUCCAGACUGGCCCCAGGGGCAACCUGGAAUGCCUAAGUGAUCUUGGCUGACUGGACCUGAACCCCAACACUUGUACUGAAUACUCUGCCAGAAGAGCCUUCUUCACCUGUUGAAAAUUGUCUGCCAUAAACAUAAAGUAGACGCUGCAGAAGCCCAGUUGUGUGAUGAUUAAUAAGAAGCUGACCAUGUACCUGGGGAAGAAAAGAACAGGCAGACUGAGAAAGCAAGCAUUAAUGUGAUUGUAUGAGAACAUGUUUAAAAAUUUGAACAAGAAAUUGAAGCAGUUGUUUCUAUCGAUAUUUUCCCUCAUUUCUUUGAAUUUUAAAAAAUGUCAGUGCCACAGAGAAAGUUGAAAGAACAGUAUUAUGAACAUUUGCAUGCCCUCUAAUAUGCCAAUCAAUAAUUUAUCAUGUAUAAUACAUACACA